GAUGAACGCUGGCGGCGUGCCUAAUACAUGCAAGUCGAGCGAACAGAUGAGUAGCGUGCUCCUCUGAUGUUAACGGCGGAAGUGAUAGUACCACGUGGAUAACCUACCUAUAAGACUGGGAGAACUUCGGGAACUCGGAGCUAAUACCGGAUAAUAUUUUGAACCGCAUGGUUCAAUAGUUAAAGACGGUUUUGCUGUCACUUAUAGAUUGGUCCGUGGCGCAUUAGCUAGUUGGUAAGGUAACGGCUUACCAAGGCAACGAUGCGUAGCCGACCUGAGAGGAUGAUCAGCCACACUGGAACUGAGACACGGCCCAGACUCCUACGGGAGGCAGCAGUAGGGAAUCUUCCGCAAUGGGCGAAAGCCUGAUGGAGCAACGCCGCGUGCAUGAUGAAGGUCUUCGGAUCGUAAAACUCUGUUAUUCGGAACGAAAAACUGUCUAAGUAACUAUGCACGUCAUGACGGUACCUAAUCAGAAAGCAACGGCUAACUACGUG
This 497-nucleotide ribosomal RNA is filed under the name uncultured bacterium. RNAcentral describes it as "partial 16S ribosomal RNA". It matches the Rfam family "Bacterial small subunit ribosomal RNA", at positions 28 to 507 of the family's 1533-position model. The record is from RNAcentral.